CUAAGCACCCCGAGGUGCAGAGACGCCUAGGGCUCUACACACCACAGCAAAGCUCCAGCACUUCAGAAUCAUUUUUAGAGAGUCAGCAGACAGGAUUCGCCUCAUGAACUAAGAAGCCACAGAAGAGACGUUGAGAAAAUGGUCAGAACCCACACUUUGCCAACAGCUGUAUUCAAGAAACGCUGUACCAUGUAAACACGGGAAGAAAGCCUGCCUAAAUCGCAAGGUUAGCAGCCCUUGAACUUCAGGAGAGGGUCCUGGUCACUCUGCUCCUUUGUCUCACACUGGAAACUCUCACUGAAGUGGACACCACAGAAACAUCUCAUCCUGGCUCCAGGAAAAACCAGAAGCCGGCUUUGUCACAGACUGAAAAAUGAAAAUCCCUUUUCAACACCCUCUCCAUAUUCCAGAGUGUUCUGUGGCUGCAGAGGACAUCACUUCCCAUGGAUACUUGUGUUCUUCCAGGUGUGGCCAUCUGUCUCCCUUCAUCGACAUUGAGGUCAUCUCCGUUUAGGGAAGGAAACUGUUGGCAUUUCUACCCAAGGAUUCUCUCACGUGGAACUGACGUUCUCUGAAGAAGCUGCAUCUGUGUUAAAGUCCUAAAGACUGACCUCGGCCUACAGGAACACAGUGACUAUGGGAAGAUGGAAGGUUGCAGGUUGACAGCCAAAAUUAUCGAGGGCUGUCUUAGUCCCCUUAAUAGCCAUUUGCUUUCAACCUCUGACCUAAUUUCUUUAUGACUAUUAUGGGAACCUCUGAGCAUCAUCUGUAACGGCCCACCUGAUCCUGGCACCAUUUUAUUUGAUAAAUGCACUCAUCUAUGACUUUUCUUUUGUUCUGUGACUAAAAAUUCAUGUAACUCCUUCCACAGGGGAGCACAUUAUUCAGGGUAACUGGAAUC
This is a non-coding RNA of Ictidomys tridecemlineatus (thirteen-lined ground squirrel), 901 nucleotides long. Lineage: Eukaryota; Metazoa; Chordata; Mammalia; Rodentia; Sciuridae. The record is from RefSeq and is a predicted model, not a curated record.